Molecule: ribosomal RNA, 207 nt
Filed under: uncultured bacterium
Lineage: Bacteria
Description: partial 16S ribosomal RNA
Rfam family: Bacterial small subunit ribosomal RNA
Source: RNAcentral
UGCGUAGGCGGCUUCUUAAGUCGGAUGUGAAAUCCCUGAGCUUAACUUAGGAAUUGCAUUCGAUACUGGGAAGCUAGAGUAUGGGAGAGGAUGGUAGAAUUCCAGGUGUAGCGGUGAAAUGCGUAGAGAUCUGGAGGAAUACCGAUGGCGAAGGCAGCCAUCUGGCCUAAUACUGACGCUGAGGUACGAAAGCAGUGGGAGCAAACA